Gallus gallus (chicken) is the source of this 78-nucleotide microRNA precursor. NCBI's taxonomy places the organism in Eukaryota, Metazoa, Chordata, Aves, Galliformes, Phasianidae. The record is from Ensembl.
CAACCUCUGCUUGGGGGAGGAGGGACCUCUGCUUUGCCAGGUGCUUUGAGGAGAGGCAUUGUCCCCUGGACAGGGAUG